Molecule: ribosomal RNA, 425 nt
Filed under: uncultured bacterium
Lineage: Bacteria
Description: partial 16S ribosomal RNA
Rfam family: Bacterial small subunit ribosomal RNA
Source: RNAcentral
GUGAGGAAUUUUGCGCAAUGGGGGCAACCCUGACGCAGCGACGCCGCGUGGAGGACGAAGUCUUUCGGGAUGUAAACUCCUGUCAGUGGGGACGAUAAUGACGGUACCCACAGAGGAAGCACCGGCUAACUCCGUGCCAGCAGCCGCGGUAAGACGGAGGGUGCAAGCGUCGUUCGGAAUUACUGGGCGUAAAGCGUAUGUAGGCGGCAAGUUAAGUUCAAUGUUAAAGCCCACGGCUCAACCGAGGAGAUGCAUUGAAUACUGGCUAGCUAGAGGGUGUUAGAGGAAGACGGAAUUCCCAGUGUAGCGGUGAAAUGCGUAGAUAUUGGGAGGAACAUCGGUAGCGAAAGCGGUCUUCUGGGACAUACCUGACGCUGAGGUACGAAAGCGUGGGGAGCAAACGGGAUUAGAAACCCUGGUAGUCC